This 484-nucleotide ribosomal RNA is filed under the name uncultured bacterium. RNAcentral's name for it is "partial 16S ribosomal RNA". It matches the Rfam family "Bacterial small subunit ribosomal RNA", at positions 29 to 507 of the family's 1533-position model. The record is from RNAcentral.
AUUGAACGCUGGCGGCAUGCUUUACACAUGCAAGUCGAACGGCAGCGCGGGCUUCGGCCUGGCGGCGAGUGGCGAACGGGUGAGUAAUACAUCGGAACGUGCCCAGUAGUGGGGGAUAGCUCGGCGAAAGCCGGAUUAAUACCGCAUACGACCUGCGGGUGAAAGCGGGGGAUCUUUGGACCUCGCGCUCUUGGAGCGGCCGAUGGCAGAUUAGCUAGUUGGUGGGGUAAAGGCCUACCAAGGCGACGAUCUGUAGCUGGUCUGAGAGGACGACCAGCCACACUGGGACUGAGACACGGCCCAGACUCCUACGGGAGGCAGCAGUGGGGAAUUUUGGACAAUGGGCGAAAGCCUGAUCCAGCAAUGCCGCGUGUGUGAUGAAGGCCUUCGGGUUGUAAAGCACUUUUGGCGGGAACGAAAAGGACUGUGCCAAUACCACGGUUCGAUGACGGUACCCGCAGAAUAAGCACCGGCUAACUACGUG